This 86-nucleotide transfer RNA is filed under the name Rubellimicrobium roseum. RNAcentral's name for it is "tRNA-Leu". It matches the Rfam family "tRNA". From Rfam's summary of the family: Transfer RNA (tRNA) molecules are approximately 80 nucleotides in length. Their secondary structure includes four short double-helical elements and three loops (D, anti-codon, and T loops). Lineage: Bacteria; Pseudomonadati; Pseudomonadota; Alphaproteobacteria; Rhodobacterales; Roseobacteraceae. The record is from RNAcentral.
GCCCGCGUGGUGGAACGGUAGACACCGGCGACUUAAAAUCGCUUGUCCGUGAGGGCGUGCAGGUUCGACUCCUGUCGCGGGCACCA